Molecule: ribosomal RNA, 180 nt
Filed under: Gephyrocapsa oceanica
Lineage: Eukaryota; Haptophyta; Isochrysidales; Noelaerhabdaceae
Description: partial Bacterial large subunit ribosomal RNA
Source: RNAcentral
GGCAUUCCGCACUCGGCCGAGAACUGCACUCGCUGGGUCUGGCAUGACAAUUGCCGCGGCAAAGACGCGGACUCCCACUGGUGCCAGCAGUACAAGGCCCUAGAAGCGGAACAUCUCCCCAUAUCUCCCCGUAUCCCCAUAUCCCGCGCGCGGGUGAUCCAUCUUCUGGCUCGCUGUGCU